UAACUUUGGGAAUACACUUUUCAUGUUGUUUGCAGUAGCAGUAAGCUCUGGAGCAGAAAGCAUUGGAACGAAGUUGCUUUCUAUAAACCCCUCACCUCAGUCACCAGCUAAAUAUGAGAUUGUUUUUGAGCCCCUAUAAAUGGCGGCACAGGUGUCACCACUCAAAGCUGAGCUCACAUCCCUUUUUCCCUCCACCGCCUGAGAACGGUGUCCCUUUCUGCUCCGCAGCUGGUCUCCAGGCCUCAGAGACAGGAAAACCCGGGUGGAAACUCCUCCCAAACACCCAGUGGAUGGAGCAAUCCAGCAGGAAUAAGCCAACAGUUGCUGCUUGGUAUUUGAACAUCAUUUAAUGAGUGCCCAGAAUUCAUCUGUAAAUGUACAUUGUUAAUUUAGGGUCUGCUAUUCAUUAAUUAGGGCUUUAGUGGCAAGUACCAUUGAGCUAUCUGCAAUGUUUAAGGUUACGUCAAGCCCUAGUAAACGGCUUGCUGAUAACAAGCCGCAUCCAUCUUCAUUACUCGGCCACUCCUGUCUGACUUCGCUCAGCAUCUUCGAAGGGCCAUGCCUCUUGGAACUGAAGAAUUAAACUUUUAUCCAAACCAGAUUCUGCUCUUUCACCUCUUCUGAUUCCUUGAGUAGUUCCCAUUUAUUUUGCCUAAAUGACAUCUGAUUACCUAACAUGGAGUGGAGCAAGGUCUUAACCUAAAACAGCCUGCAGACCUCAGUUCUCAGCUGGAGAAUUCCAGUGGGUUAACGCUAAGGAAAUCCUUACAUUUCCAUUUCAUCUGAUACCGGGCUCAGUGUAAAAGAAAUAGUUUCUGAUUUUUCUUCUCAUAAGGUUGCAGUUCCAACAGAAUUUUUUUUUUAAGCCAGAGAAAUACAGGAAAUUAACUUUAAACCUGGAGAAUAAAUGUCCUUAUUGGUUCGAGUUUACUUUUGCAGUGUUUCUCUCUCUGAAAACAUGUAUCAUUUGAGGCAAUCACCGUGCCAAAUGAAAUAAUUCCAACCAUCUAAAGAGCCCUACAUUCCGAGCCUCAGCUGUACAAACGCAGUCAUGUUGGAGGUACACGCUCAGUCACCAGAGGGGCUCAGAAACCUACACUGCUUUCCUGUGUCUAGGCCCACAGUUGAAGCAGGCAGCUAGGGCAGACAUUUAGCCAGAUACUGUUCUUAAAGAAACUAUAUAAACAGAAACUCUGCUCUAGGACCCGGAGCACUGCACGCAGACUGCUGGUAGGAAGAGUGCUCAAUUGUUCAAUUUUUAUUAUUCAAUAUUGUAUUAAAAUUUUUUUAGGCUCUUUGGGUCAAGGAGACUUUUAAAAGGUUAAAAGCUAUUCAAAAGGGUUACCAUAUCCAUAAAAGCAAAUGAGAUUAAGCCUAAAGACUGAUGGAGGGAAAACAAUAAUUUAGAUAAACUGCUACCAGCUAAAAAUGUUUUGACUUUUACCACAGAAAGGGAAUUCAGAGAUUCUUAGAUUGGUUGUCAUGUCAAAGAAAGAUUCAUUAAAUUUGAAGCAAUUAUUUUUGUGCUUUUUAUUGUUUGGUGUUUUAGGCCAGCUUGCACCUUUCUUUGGUUAUAUUCUUUAUAAUGGUUUGGGAAAUGUAAUUGCAUGGCUCCAACUUCCAUCUGUCAACUAUUGACCUUGCUGGUUGGGCAUCUGUAACAUCAGACACUGUUGUCAUGGAAAGAAUUAUGAUGUUUCAAUCGAAUGUAUUGCAAAGUUAACAAAUCCAUAACAUGAUCUGGAUCACAUGGAAGAGUUUAGAAAAUGUGUUUCAGAGACCUCAGGGAA
This is a non-coding RNA of Kogia breviceps (pygmy sperm whale), 1790 nucleotides long. NCBI's taxonomy places the organism in Eukaryota, Metazoa, Chordata, Mammalia, Artiodactyla, Physeteridae. The record is from RefSeq and is a predicted model, not a curated record.